UGUGCUAAGGUAGCAUAAUCAUUUGCUACUUAAUUAGUGGCUAGAAUGAAUGGGAGGACGAAUAGUUGACUUUCUUAGUUUACCUAGAAAUUAAUGUAAGAAUUAAAAAGUUCUUUCCCCUUAGAAAGACGACAAGACCCUAGAACCUUCACUAGUGUUAGUUUUGCUGGGGCGGUAAAUAGUAUAACGCGAGAGUUAAAAACACUAUGAGUGAGAUUAUCUAUCCUUGUAUUGAAUAAAAAAAGGUACUUUAGGGAUAACAGAAUAAUCCUUGCUUAGAGUUCUUAUCGACGCAGGGGUUUAUCACCUCGAUGUUGAAUUGAGUAAACUUUAUGGGGCAG
Molecule: ribosomal RNA, 341 nt
Filed under: Oniscus asellus
Lineage: Eukaryota; Metazoa; Arthropoda; Malacostraca; Isopoda; Oniscidae
Description: 16S ribosomal RNA
Rfam family: Bacterial large subunit ribosomal RNA
Source: RNAcentral